UAGGGAAUAUUGGGCAAUGGGGGAAACCCUGACGCAGCAACGCCGCGUGAAGGAUGAAGGCUUUCGGGUUGUAAACUUCUUUGAUGAGGGACGAAAGAAAUGACGGUACCUCAAAAACAAGCCACGGCUAACUACGUGCCAGCAGCCGCGGUAAUACGUAGGCAGCGAGCGUUGUUCGGAGUUACUGGGCGUAAAGAGUGCGUAGGCGGCGAGCCAAGUUUGGUGUGAAAUCUCCCGGCUUAACCGGGAGGGUGCGCCGAAAACUGGUUGGCUGGAGUAUGGGAGAGGAAAGCGGAAUUCCUGGUGUAGCGGUGAAAUGCAUAGAUAUCAGGAGGAACACCUGCGGUGUAGACAGCUUUCUGGACCAAAACUGACGCUGAGGCACGAAAGCGUGGGUAGCAAACA
Molecule: ribosomal RNA, 405 nt
Filed under: uncultured bacterium
Lineage: Bacteria
Description: bacterial SSU rRNA
Rfam family: Bacterial small subunit ribosomal RNA
Source: RNAcentral